This 348-nucleotide unclassified non-coding RNA is filed under the name soil metagenome. Its description in RNAcentral is "partial contains 5.8S ribosomal RNA, internal transcribed spacer 2, and large subunit ribosomal RNA". The stretch from base 1 to 120 matches the Rfam family "5.8S ribosomal RNA", at positions 35 to 154 of the family's 154-position model. The record is from RNAcentral.
GAUGAAGAACGCAGCGAAAUGCGAUAAGUAAUGUGAAUUGCAGAAUUCAGUGAAUCAUCGAAUCUUUGAACGCACAUUGCGCCCGCCAGUAUUCUGGCGGGCAUGCCUGUCCGAGCGUCAUUUCAACCCUCAUGCCCCUAGGGCGUGGUGUUGGGGAUCGGCCAAAGCCCGCGAGGGACGGCCGGCCCCUAAAUCUAGUGGCGGACCCGUCGUGGCCUCCUCUGCGAAGUAGUGAUAUUCCGCAUCGGAGAGCGACGAGCCCCUGCCGUUAAACCCCCAACUUUCCAAGGUUGACCUCAGAUCAGGUAGGAAUACCCGCUGAACUUAAGCAUAUCAAUAAGCGGAGGA